Molecule: microRNA precursor, 202 nt
Organism: Oryza rufipogon (brownbeard rice)
Lineage: Eukaryota; Viridiplantae; Streptophyta; Magnoliopsida; Poales; Poaceae
Rfam family: MIR812 microRNA precursor family
Source: Rfam
UUUAAAUGUAACCAUAAGUUUCCGUGCUUAUUUUUGAUUGUCCGUUUUAUUUGAAUUUGGUUUAUAAUUAGUAUUUUUAUUGUUAAGAGAUGAUAAAACAUGAAUAAUAUUUUAUAUAUAACUUAUAUUUUUAUUUUUAAAAAAAAUUUUAAGUAAGAUGGACAAUUAAAGUUGUAUACGGAAAAUCAUGGCUGCACUUAAA